This is a small nucleolar RNA of Oncorhynchus tshawytscha (Chinook salmon), 84 nucleotides long. The record is from Ensembl. NCBI's taxonomy places the organism in Eukaryota, Metazoa, Chordata, Actinopteri, Salmoniformes, Salmonidae.
UGCAAGUGAUGUUUUUCUCACAAUGGUCUUCCAAGCCGUUGUGGAGUUGACGAAACGUCCCCUCGUCAACUCUGCUGCAGUGUA